Molecule: ribosomal RNA, 450 nt
Filed under: uncultured bacterium
Lineage: Bacteria
Description: bacterial SSU rRNA
Rfam family: Bacterial small subunit ribosomal RNA
Source: RNAcentral
ACUCCUACGGGAGGCAGCAGUGGGGAAUAUUGCACAAUGGGCGCAAGCCUGAUGCAGCAACGCCGCGUGAGGGAUGACGGCCUUCGGGUUGUAAACCUCUUUUAGCAGGGAAGAAGCGAAAGUGACGGUACCUGCAGAAAAAGCGCCGGCUAACUACGUGCCAGCAGCCGCGGUAAUACGUAGGGCGCAAGCGUUAUCCGGAAUUAUUGGGCGUAAAGAGCUCGUAGGCGGUUUGUCGCGUCUGCUGUGAAAUCCCGAGGCUCAACCUCGGGUCUGCAGUGGGUACGGGCAGACUAGAGUGCGGUAGGGGAGAUUGGAAUUCCUGGUGUAGCGGUGGAAUGCGCAGAUAUCAGGAGGAACACCGAUGGCGAAGGCAGAUCUCUGGGCCGUAACUGACGCUGAGGAGCGAAAGGGUGGGGAGCAAACAGGCUUAGAUACCCUGGUAGCUAC